CAGUAGCCGCGGUAAUACGAAGGGUGCAAGCGUUACUCGGAAUUACUGGGCGUAAAGCGUGCGUAGGUGGUUGUUUAAGUCUGUUGUGAAAGCCCUGGGCUCAACCUGGGAAUUGCAGUGGAUACUGGGCAACUAGAGUGUGGUAGAGGGUAGUGGAAUUCCCGGUGUAGCAGUGAAAUGCGUAGAGAUCGGGAGGAACAUCCAUGGCGAAGGCAGCUACCUGGACCAACACUGACACUGAGGCACGAAAGCGUGGGGAGCAAACAGGAUUAGAUACCCCCGUAGUCCCUGUCUCUUAUAC
Molecule: ribosomal RNA, 301 nt
Filed under: uncultured bacterium
Lineage: Bacteria
Description: partial 16S ribosomal RNA
Rfam family: Bacterial small subunit ribosomal RNA
Source: RNAcentral